GACGAACGCUGGCGGCGUGCUUAACACAUGCAAGUCGAACGGAAAGGCCCUGCUUUUGUGGGGUUCUCGAGUGGCGAACGGGUGAGUAACACGUGAGUAACCUGCCCUUGACUUUGGGAUAACUUCAGGAAACUGGGGCUAAUACCGGAUAGGAGCUCCUGCUGCAUGGUGGGGGUUGGAAAGUUUCGGCGGUUGGGGAUGGACUCGCGGCUUAUCAGCUUGUUGGUGGGGUAGUGGCUUACCAAGGCUUUGACGGGUAGCCGGCCUGAGAGGGUGACCGGCCACAUUGGGACUGAGAUACGGCCCAGACUCCUACGGGAGGCAGCAGUGGGGAAUAUUGCACAAUGGGCGGAAGCCUGAUGCAGCAACGCCGCGUGCGGGAUGACGGCCUUCGGGUUGUAAACCGCUUUCGCCUGUGACGAAGAGUGAGUGACGGUAAUGGGUAAAGAAGCACCGGCUAACUACGUG
RNAcentral lists this ribosomal RNA (468 nucleotides) under uncultured bacterium. RNAcentral describes it as "partial 16S ribosomal RNA". It matches the Rfam family "Bacterial small subunit ribosomal RNA", at positions 28 to 507 of the family's 1533-position model. The record is from RNAcentral.